RNAcentral lists this ribosomal RNA (253 nucleotides) under uncultured bacterium. RNAcentral describes it as "partial 16S ribosomal RNA". It matches the Rfam family "Bacterial small subunit ribosomal RNA", at positions 524 to 776 of the family's 1533-position model. The record is from RNAcentral.
GACGAACCGUGCGAACGUUGUUCGGAAUCACUGGGCUUAAAGGGCGCGUAGGCGGGCGGUCAAGUCCGGGGUGAAAUCUUUCGGCUCAACCGGAAAAGGGCCUCGGAUACUGGCCGCCUGGAGGAAGGUAGGGGCAUGCGGAACUUCCGGUGGAGCGGUGAAAUGCGUUGAUAUCGGAAGGAACGCCGGUGGCGAAAGCGGCGUGCUGGACCUUUUCUGACGCUGAUGCGCGAAAGCCAGGGGAGCGAACGGG